This 195-nucleotide unclassified non-coding RNA is filed under the name uncultured fungus. RNAcentral's name for it is "sequence contains ITS1". Lineage: Eukaryota; Fungi. The record is from RNAcentral.
UUAACUAUUUUAUAGUGCUCAGACGACGCUAAUAUACAGAGUUGGGGGUCCUCUGGCGGGCACACUAGGGCGAACCCUAGGCGAGGCACUCGCGGCCCGCCAAAGCAACAGAUAAUAAUAAUACACAAGGGUGGGAGAUCUACCCGUGAGGGCAUGAACUCUGUAAUGAUCCUUCCGCAGGUUCACCUACGGAAA